Molecule: long non-coding RNA, 777 nt
Organism: Pan paniscus (pygmy chimpanzee)
Lineage: Eukaryota; Metazoa; Chordata; Mammalia; Primates; Hominidae
Source: Ensembl
CACAUGGAGCCUGCAGGCUUGCUGAGGUCUAAAUGUUUAUUUUCUCUUUUCCCAAAAGGAUGAAAAUGUUGAUAAAGUACCCUUUGUGCUUGCCUGGGAACACAAAUAUCUUCUUGUCCUUUGAUCCUAAGAAAUGGAUGAAGAAACUCCAGGGUGAAUGCAUAGACUUAAACCAGAGGGCAUCAAGUAAACGACAUCACAAGGAUCUAAGACUCUUUAUAAAUACCUCCGGAAAUGGCUUCAAGAACUGGUAACACUUUAUUAUGAUAUCUACCUCUAUACAAGAGCACUUGAACAUUUUUAUAGGCAUCUUAGGAACACCAGAAUUCUUCCAUAUACAGCUGUAAUAUUUCACUGAUAUACUGCAGAGUGGGGUUUACAUAGAUGGUAUUAGAAUACUGUGGAGAUGCUUGAAACUUAUGAAACAGUCUAUGUGUUCAACCUAAAUGACUGCUACCAUACAUUCCCAUGGGAAAUCUAAAUCCUGGUAUAAUUCUGCUUCCUAAAGGUGUCUGACUUAAAGUAAUGCUGCUGUUCUGACAUGACAGGUUUAUCGUUAGUUUUUUAGUUGUUUUAAUACAAGCAUAUUAAAGAGGCAUAAGUGGUAACACUCAGCCCAUCAUCUCACUUCUGUAUGCCUCAUAUUUACUCCACUUUUAAGGUUUUGCCAUUAUUUUAUUACCAUAUAAAUACAUAUAAACUAAAAGCUUAAAUAAAUGAAUUAAUUUGCCAAUUUUAAUACAGGGACUUGACUUAAACUUGUUUCCUGAUGUUGCU